RNAcentral lists this ribosomal RNA (276 nucleotides) under Triticum aestivum (bread wheat). Its description in RNAcentral is "partial small subunit ribosomal RNA". The record is from RNAcentral. Lineage: Eukaryota; Viridiplantae; Streptophyta; Magnoliopsida; Poales; Poaceae.
AUGCGUGUUUCGACGAGAACACCGAAAAAACCUAAUUCAGCUCUACGUAAGAUAGCAAAAGUACGGUUGAGCAAUCGACAUGAUGUAUUUGCUCACAUUCCAGGCGAUGGUCAUAAUUCGCAGGAACAUUCUAUAGUCUUAGUCAGAGGAGGUAGAGUGAAAGAUUCGCCAGGUGUGAAAUCCUAUCGUAUUCCAGGAGUCAAGGAUUUGCUGGGAAUUCCAGAUCGUAGAAAGGGAAGAUCUAAAUAUGGUGCAGAAAGACCUAAAUCGAAAUGA